This 477-nucleotide ribosomal RNA is filed under the name uncultured bacterium. RNAcentral describes it as "bacterial SSU rRNA". It matches the Rfam family "Bacterial small subunit ribosomal RNA", at positions 329 to 798 of the family's 1533-position model. The record is from RNAcentral.
GAGUUGACUCCUACGUGAGGCAGCAGUAGGGAAUCUUCGGCAAUGGACGAAAGUCUGACCGAGCAACGCCGCGUGAGUGAAGAAGGUUUUCGGAUCGUAAAGCUCUGUUGUAAGAGAAGAACGAGUGUGAGAGUGGAAAGUUCACACUGUGACGGUAUCUUACCAGAAAGGGACGGCUAACUACGUGCCAGCAGCCGCGGUAAUACGUAGGUCCCGAGCGUUAUCCGGAUUUAUUGGGCGUAAAGCGAGCGCAGGCGGUUAGAUAAGUCUGAAGUUAAAGGCUGUGGCUUAACCAUAGUACGCUUUGGAAGCUGUUUAACUUGAGGGCAGAAGGGGAGAGUGGAAUUCAAUGUGUAGCGGUGAAAUGCGUAGAUAUAUGGAGGAACACCGGUGGCGAAAGCGGCUCUCUGGUCUGUAACUGACGCUGAGGCUCGAAAGCGUGGGGAGCAAACAGGAUUAGAAACCCCUGUAGUCCGA